UACGGAGGGUGCAAGCGUUAAUCGGAAUUACUGGGCGUAAAGCGCACGCAGGUGGCUGAGUCAGUCGAUUGUGAAAGCCCUGGGCUUAACCUGGGAAUUGCAGUCGAUACUACUCAGCUAGAGUAUGGGAGAGGGUAGUGGAAUUCCAGGUGUAGCGGUGAAAUGCGUAGAUAUCUGGAGGAACACCGGUGGCGAAGGCGACAUCCUGGACCGGUAUUGACGCUGAGGCGCGAAAGCCAGGGGAGCAAACGGG
Molecule: ribosomal RNA, 253 nt
Filed under: uncultured bacterium
Lineage: Bacteria
Description: partial 16S ribosomal RNA
Rfam family: Bacterial small subunit ribosomal RNA
Source: RNAcentral